Molecule: transfer RNA, 72 nt
Filed under: Bos taurus (domestic cattle)
Lineage: Eukaryota; Metazoa; Chordata; Mammalia; Artiodactyla; Bovidae
Also listed under: 1 other name
Rfam family: tRNA
About the family: Transfer RNA (tRNA) molecules are approximately 80 nucleotides in length. Their secondary structure includes four short double-helical elements and three loops (D, anti-codon, and T loops).
Source: Rfam by way of RNAcentral
UCUCUGGUGGCUCAGAGGGUAAAGCAUCUACCUCCAAUGUGGGAGACUUGGGUUUGAUCCCCAGGCAGGGAA